AACGCACGAGACCUGCGGACCUGCGGAAGGAUCAUUAUUGAGUUUUAAAAGGAGAUUUGCCUUUCGGCAUCUCUCUUUUUUCCUCUCUUUUCACCCUUUUGUUAUCAUUUUUCUCAGUUGCUUUGGCAGGUGAUUUGAUCUCCUGCCAAGGGAUUUUUCUAAACACAUUUUUGUUAUCCAAUAAUCGGGAUAUCUCUCGUCUGAUUUCUUAUGGCUUUUGAAUAAGUACAUAAAACUUUC
RNAcentral lists this unclassified non-coding RNA (240 nucleotides) under soil metagenome. RNAcentral describes it as "partial contains 5.8S ribosomal RNA, internal transcribed spacer 2, and large subunit ribosomal RNA". The record is from RNAcentral.